RNAcentral lists this ribosomal RNA (279 nucleotides) under uncultured bacterium. Its description in RNAcentral is "partial 16S ribosomal RNA". It matches the Rfam family "Bacterial small subunit ribosomal RNA", at positions 506 to 784 of the family's 1533-position model. The record is from RNAcentral.
UGCCAGCCGCCGCGGUAAUACGUAAGUCGCAAGCGUUAUCCGGAAUUACUGGGCGUAAAGCGCACGUAGGCGGAUUAGUAAGUUAGGGGUGAAAGCCCGGGGCUCAACCCCGGAAGUGCAUUGGAAACUGGCGAACUUGAGUACGGGAGAGGAAAGUGGAAUUCCGAGUGUAGGGGUGAAAUCCGUAGAUAUUCGGAGGAACACCAGUGGCGAAGGCGGCUCACUGGCUCGAUACUGACGCUGAGGUGCGAAGGUGUGGGGAGCAAACAGGAUUAGAUA